AGUCGAGCGGAAACGAGUUAACUGAACCUUCGGGGAACGAUAACGGCGUCGAGCGGGGGACGGGUGAGUAAUGCCUAGGAAAUUGCCCUGAUGUGGGGGAUAACCAUUGGAAACGAUGGCUAAUACCGCAUGAUGCCUACGGGCCAAAGAGGGGGACCUUCGGGCCUCUCGCGUCAGGAUAUGCCUAGGUGGGAUUAGCUAGUUGGUGAGGUAAGGGCUCACCAAGGCGACGAUCCCUAGCUGGUCUGAGAGGAUGAUCAGCCACACUGGAACUGAGACACGGUCCAGACUCCUACGGGAGGCAGCAGUGGGGAAUAUUGCACAAUGGGCGCAAGCCUGAUGCAGCCAUGCCGCGUGUGUGAAGAAGGCCUUCGGGUUGUAAAGCACUUUCAGUCGUGAGGAAGGCGGUGUCGUUAAUAGCGGCAUCGUUUGACGUUAGCGACAGAAGAAGCACCGGCUAACUCCGUGCCAGCAGCCGCGGUAAUACGGAGGGUGCGAGCGUUAAUCGGAAUUACUGGGCGUAAAGCGCAUGCAGGUGGUUUGUUAAGUCAGAUGUGAAAGCCCGGGGCUCAACCUCGGAAUAGCAUUUGAAACUGGCAGACUAGAGUACUGUAGAGGGGGGUAGAAUUUCAGGUGUAGCGGUGAAAUGCGUAGAGAUCUGAAGGAAUACCGGUGGCGAAGGCGGCCCCCUGGACAGAUACUGACACUCAGAUGCGAAAGCGUGGGGGAGCAAACAGGAUUAGAUACCCUGGUAGUCACGCCGUAAACGAUGUCUACUUGGAGGUUGUGCCUUGAGCCGUGCUUUCGGAGCUUACGCGUUAGUAGACCGCUUGGAGUACGGUCGCAGAUUAAAACUCAAUGAUUGACGGGCCGCACAGCGGUGGAGCAUGGGGUUAUUCGAUGCACGCGAGACCUACCUACUCUGACUCAAAGACCUUCCAGUUGAAUGU
Molecule: ribosomal RNA, 950 nt
Filed under: Vibrio sp. BBT63
Lineage: Bacteria; Pseudomonadati; Pseudomonadota; Gammaproteobacteria; Vibrionales; Vibrionaceae
Description: bacterial SSU rRNA
Rfam family: Bacterial small subunit ribosomal RNA
Source: RNAcentral